Molecule: ribosomal RNA, 253 nt
Filed under: uncultured bacterium
Lineage: Bacteria
Description: partial 16S ribosomal RNA
Rfam family: Bacterial small subunit ribosomal RNA
Source: RNAcentral
GACGAACUGUCCAAACGUUGUUCAGAAUCACUGGGCUUAAAGGGCGCGUAGGCGGUCAAACAAGUCAGGGGUGAAAUCCUGCAGCUCAACUGUAGAAGUGCCUCUGAUACUGUUUGCCUAGAGGGAGAUAGGGGUGUGCGGAACUUCCAGUGGAGCGGUGAAAUGCGUUGAUAUUGGAAGGAACGCCGGAGGCGAAAGCGGCGCACUGGAUCUCUUCUGACGCUGAGGCGCGAAAGCUAGGGGAGCAAACGGG